Molecule: long non-coding RNA, 270 nt
Filed under: Phoenix dactylifera (date palm)
Lineage: Eukaryota; Viridiplantae; Streptophyta; Magnoliopsida; Arecales; Arecaceae
Description: long non-coding RNA (PDAC_LNC010695)
Source: RNAcentral
AUUCCCACACAAAAACAGGGGAGGCUCUGCUUCCACAAAGAAAGAAAAAAAAGAGAGUGAACAGGGGAGAUAUUCAUGUCAAUGGCUAGUACAUUCAUGUCAAUGGCUAGCUAACUCCAUUGGUCAAGGGAGAUGGAAGAACCCUUGACUUUUUGCUCUCAUGAAGUAAACUCUGAACUUUGGUUUUAAUUGAUUUACAUACUCUCAUAUGUUCUUAUUCUCUCAUAUGUAUUUAUUAGAUAGAUUUGUUAUGGUUUAUAUUUAUUGAUG